RNAcentral lists this ribosomal RNA (497 nucleotides) under uncultured bacterium. RNAcentral describes it as "partial 16S ribosomal RNA". It matches the Rfam family "Bacterial small subunit ribosomal RNA", at positions 28 to 507 of the family's 1533-position model. The record is from RNAcentral.
GACGAACGCUGGCGGCGUGCCUAAUACAUGCAAGUAGAACGCUGAAGAGAGGAGCUUGCUCUUCUUGGAUGAGUUGCGAACGGGUGAGUAACGCGUAGGUAACCUGCCUUGUAGCGGGGGAUAACUAUUGGAAACGAUAGCUAAUACCGCAUAACAAUGGAUGACACAUGUCAUUUAUUUGAAAGGGGCAAUUGCUCCACUACAAGAUGGACCUGCGUUGUAUUAGCUAGUAGGUGAGGUAAUGGCUCACCUAGGCGACGAUACAUAGCCGACCUGAGAGGGUGGUCGGCCACACUGGGACUGGGACACGGCCCAGACUCCUACGGGAGGCAGCAGUAGGGAAUCUUCGGCGAUGGGGGCAACCCUGACCGAGCAACGCCGCGUGAGUGAAGAAGGUUUUCGGAUCGUAAAGCUCUGUUGUAAGUCAAGAACGGGUGUGAGAGUGGAAAGUUCACACUGUGACGGUAGCUUACCAGAAAGGGACGGCUAACUACGUG